RNAcentral lists this long non-coding RNA (1144 nucleotides) under Macaca fascicularis (crab-eating macaque). Its description in RNAcentral is "lncRNA (ENSMFAG00000061542.1)". The record is from RNAcentral. Lineage: Eukaryota; Metazoa; Chordata; Mammalia; Primates; Cercopithecidae.
AUGCUCCCUGCGGAUCCUGAAGCCGGUCAGAUAACAAGGUGCAGAGGUGUGGGGAAGACCUGGAGGGAGGCCUUACUGGGUGCCAACCAGCCUAACCAGCCGGGGCCACAGACCAGAAGUGCUUCUGAUGUUAACAUGACACGGAAGGGUGCCUCUGACAUCUGCACAGCACAUACAGCCAAGUUUAGGAGCCCACUGUUAAGAUGCCCAGGUGACAUUGACAAGUUUCACUGUGAGCCAAUGAGGUCUGCUGACCACAAUAGCAUCGCAGUACUGCUGAAGGAUUCUGGAAAAUGUGGUCCAGGUUGGCCGGUAUGCACUGACCUUCCCGUGAAGGUGACCUGAGCUCACCACACAAGUCUCCUCCCUGGUGUGCCCUUCUCCGAGCAGAUGCCAGGUUGGGACAGAAGCAGCUCAGGGAGAGGUGAUGCUUUGCCGGGACUCCUGGUUUGUAGGUAACACUGGCCCUGUGUCCCCUACAGUAGGAGGGUGUACCAGGACAAGGAACCCCAAGGCUGUUUUCAGAGAGAGCAAGAUUGGCUUUAUGCAAACUCCUGGAAUGGAGAUGGGGAGAGUCUUGUCACAUUUCCCCGGGAUUUUAGGGGAUGGAGGCUGGACCUGGGUGAACAGCAAAAGACCGCCUGGUGGUCGUGGUGGUGAGGAUGGGAGACUUGAGCCAGAAAUUCCUGAGAGUCUUUUUUGACAGAAUCUCGCUCUGUCACCCAGACUGGAGUGCAAUGGUGUGAUCUCGGCUCAUUGCAACCUCUGCCUCCGGGUUCAAGUGAUUCUCCUGCCUCAGCCUCCCAAGUGGCUGGGAUUACAGGUGCCUGCCACCAUGCCCAGCUAAUUUUUUUUUUUUUUGUAUUUUUAGUAGCAACGGUGUUUUGCCAUGUUGCCCAGCCUGGUCUUGAACACCCAACCUGAAGUGAUCCACCUGCCUUGGCCUCCCAUUGUGCUGGGAUUACAGGCAUGAGCCCCCAGGCCCACCCCAUUUUUAUCUUUUCUCUUACAGGUUUUUAUUUUAUCUUUUUCUUAUCUUACAGGUGCGGCUUGGAAGAAACUUCUGGAGGGUGGGGUGGUGUUGAAGAGGAGGCAACAUUGUAACCGUUUUGUUCAACAUGGGUGUUUUCUUUAUGCAUCAAUU